RNAcentral lists this ribosomal RNA (497 nucleotides) under uncultured bacterium. RNAcentral describes it as "bacterial SSU rRNA". It matches the Rfam family "Bacterial small subunit ribosomal RNA", at positions 29 to 509 of the family's 1533-position model. The record is from RNAcentral.
AACGAACGCUGGCGGCGUGGAUUAGGCAUGCAAGUCGGACGGUAGGGCUUUAUCGUAAGAUAGAGUUUGAGAGUGGCGAACGGGUGAGUAACACGUAGGAAUCUACCCUUAAGACGGGGACAACCCAGGGAAACUUGGGCUAAUACCGGAUGAGAGUGCGAGAGAUUGCAUUUAAAAGGAUGGCGAAAGUUGUCGCUUAGGGAUGAGCCUGCGGUCUAUUAGUUAGUUGGUGAGGUAAGAGCUCACCAAGGCGAUGAUAGAUAGGCGGCCUUAACGGGUGGUCGCCCACACUGGGAUUGAGAUACGGCCCAGACUCCUACGGGAGGCAGCAGUCGAGAAUAGUCUACAAUGGUCGGAAGACUGAUAGUGCGACGCCGCGUGAACGAUGAAUCCCUUCGGGGUGUAAAGUUCUUUUAUAUGUGAGCAGUGCUUCUUAUAUUAACAGUAUGGGGAGAGAGAUAUUAGCAUAUGAAAUAAGCAACGGCUAACUCCGUGCC